Molecule: ribosomal RNA, 293 nt
Filed under: uncultured bacterium
Lineage: Bacteria
Description: partial 16S ribosomal RNA
Rfam family: Bacterial small subunit ribosomal RNA
Source: RNAcentral
GUGCCAGCCGCCGCGGUAAGACGGAGGGCGCAAGCGUUGUUCGGAAUUACUGGGCGUAAAGCGCGGGCAGGCGGUCUGUUAAGUCGUUUGUGAAAAUCCGGGGCUCAACCCCGCGAAAUGCAUACGAUACUGGCAGGCUGGAGACUGGUAGAGGCUAGCGGAAUUCCUGGUGUAGCGGUGGAAUGCGUAGAUAUCAGGAAGAACACCUGUGGCGAAGGCGGCUAGCUGGGCCAGUUCUGACGCUCAUCCGCGAAAGCGUGGGGAGCAAACAGGAUUAGAUACCCCCGUAGUCC